CAGCCGCCACGGUAAUACGUAGGUGGCAAGCGUUGUCCGGAAUUAUUGGGUGCAAAGGGAGCGUAGACGGAAUGGCGAGUCUGAAGUGAAAUGCCCGGGCUCAACCCGGGAACUGCUUUGGAAACUGUCGAUCUGGAGUGUUGGAGAGGAGAGUGGAAUUCCACGUGUAGCGGUGAAAUGCGUAGAGAUGUGGAGGAACACCAGUGGCGAAGGCGACUCUCUGGUCUGUAACUGACGCUGAGGAGCGAAAGCGUGGGGAGCGAACAGGAUUAGAUACCCGCGUAGUCCCUGUCUCUUAUAC
This 301-nucleotide ribosomal RNA is filed under the name uncultured bacterium. Its description in RNAcentral is "partial 16S ribosomal RNA". It matches the Rfam family "Bacterial small subunit ribosomal RNA", at positions 509 to 807 of the family's 1533-position model. The record is from RNAcentral.